UUAGUCCUGGCGUCAGGAUGAACGCUGGCGGCGUGCCAAUACAUGCAAGUCGAGCGAAUGACGAGGAGCUUGCUCCUCUGAUUUAGCGGCGGACGGGUGAGUAACACGUGGGUAACCUGCCUGUAAGACGGGGAUAACUCCGGAAACCGGGGCUAAUACCGGAUAAUAAAGGAAAUGCAUAUUCCUUUUUGAAAGUUGGCAUCUCGCUAACACUUACAGAUGGGCCCGCGGCGCAUUAGCUAGUUGGUGAGGUAAUGGCUCACCAAGGCGACGAUGCGUAGCCGACCUGAGAGGGUGAUCGGCCACACUGGGACUGAGACACGGCCCAGACUCCUACGGGAGGCAGCAGUAGGGAAUCUUCGGCAAUGGGCGAAAGCCUGACCGAGCAACGCCGCGUGAGCGAUGAAGGCCUUCGGGUCGUAAAGCUCUGUUGUUAGAGAAGAACAAGUACGAGAGUAACUGCUCGUACCUUGACGGUACCUAACCAGAAAGCCACGGCUAACUACGUG
This 509-nucleotide ribosomal RNA is filed under the name uncultured Bacillus sp. RNAcentral's name for it is "bacterial SSU rRNA". It matches the Rfam family "Bacterial small subunit ribosomal RNA", at positions 13 to 507 of the family's 1533-position model. Lineage: Bacteria; Bacillati; Bacillota; Bacilli; Caryophanales; Bacillaceae. The record is from RNAcentral.